GACGAACGCUGGCGGCGUGCCUAAUACAUGCAAGUAGAACGCUGAAGGAGGAGCUUGCUUCUCCGGAUGAGUUGCGAACGGGUGAGUAACGCGUAGGUAACCUGCCUGGUAGCGGGGGAUAACUAUUGGAAACGAUAGCUAAUACCGCAUAACAGUAGAUAUCGCAUGAUAUCUGCUUGAAAGGUGCAAUUGCAUCACUACCAGAUGGACCUGCGUUGUAUUAGCUAGUUGGUGAGGUAACGGCUCACCAAGGCGACGAUACAUAGCCGACCUGAGAGGGUGAUCGGCCACACUGGGACUGCAACACGGCCCAGUCUCCUACGGGAGGCAGCAGUAGGGAAUCUUCGGCAAUGGACGGAAGUCUGACCGAGCAACGCCGCGUGAGUGAAGAAGGUUUUCGGAUCGUAAAGCUCUGUUGUAAGAGAAGAACGAGUGUGAGAGUGGAAAGUUCACACUGUGACGGUAUCUUACCAGAAAGGGACGGCUAACUACGUG
RNAcentral lists this ribosomal RNA (495 nucleotides) under uncultured bacterium. RNAcentral's name for it is "partial 16S ribosomal RNA". It matches the Rfam family "Bacterial small subunit ribosomal RNA", at positions 28 to 507 of the family's 1533-position model. The record is from RNAcentral.